RNAcentral lists this ribosomal RNA (1438 nucleotides) under Robustosergia robusta. Its description in RNAcentral is "partial large subunit ribosomal RNA". The stretch from base 681 to 1438 matches the Rfam family "Archaeal large subunit ribosomal RNA", at positions 1423 to 2835 of the family's 2987-position model. The record is from RNAcentral. Lineage: Eukaryota; Metazoa; Arthropoda; Malacostraca; Decapoda; Sergestidae.
AUUUAAAAUCUUGCUUUAAAUAUUAUAAAAAGUAUAUAUAUAAAGUCUAAUACUUAUAAAAAUAAUUUAUAAAAAAUAACGUUGAAGUAAAGUUUAUUGAAACAUUUUGUUAAAAGCUAUAGUAAAAAGUACUGUAAAGGAAAGUUGAAAUAAAAUGAAAAAUAUUAAAUAAUUUUAAGCAAUUAUAAAGUUUUGUACCUCGUGUAUCAGGGAAAAUUAAAUUAAUUUCCUAUAAUAAGGUAAGUCCCGAAAAAAGAAGAGCUAAUGUAAUAAAAAGUUAUCGUGUUAAAGAUAUUUUAAAUAUUGCUUUAGUAAUGAAAUGUUAAUCGAUUCUUUAUAUCUGGUUGCAAGUGAAUUAAAUUUAAUUUUAUGGCAUUUGUUUAAAUACUUUGUCUUUAAGAAAAGGAGGAAAAAGCUUCUUUUUCUAGAAAUAAUUUUACUGAGUUUAAAAGCAAAAUUAAGUAUGUUAUAAAUUUUAAAAUUAGGCUUAGAAGCAGUCAUAUUUAUAAAGCGUUUUAGCUAAUAAAUCAAUAACUUAAUAUUUAUAUACCUUAAAACCUGUAUUAGUAGCUUGUAAGUUAAUUAAUUAAUUUUGUUAAUUGUUAAAAUGAUGUUAUUAGUAGAUAAUUUAUUGUGUUAAAGAAAUAUUUUUAAAUAUUUACAGUUCUAUAAAUAUAAAAUACUUUAAAUAUACAGUUAAGGAAUUCGGCAAAUCUUUGCUUUUGCCUGUUUAUCAAAAACAUGUCUGUGCGAAGGUAUGUAGAGUCUGGCCUGCCCACUGACUUAGUUUGUUUAAAGGGCCGCGGUAUUUUGACCGUGCGAAGGUAGCAUAAUCAUUAGUCUUUUAAUUGAAGGCUUGUAUGAAUGGUCGGACAAAAAGUAAGCUGUCUUCAACUGUAAAAAUUGAAUUUGACUUUUAAGUGAAAAGGCUUAAAUAAUACAAAGUGACGAUAAGACCCUAUAAAGCUUUAUAGUGUAAUCUUUUAUUAUAAAUUAUGAAAUCGUAUAACUUAGUUUAAGACAAAACUCUUUCGUUGGGGCGACGAAAAUAUAAUAAAAUAACUGUUUUUGUUUAAAUAAAACAAAUAUAUUUGGUUUUAAUGAGUGAUCCUUUUUUAAAGAUUAAAAGAUUAAGUUACUUUAGGGAUAACAGCGUAAUCUUCUUUGAGAGUUCAUAUCGACAAGAAGGGUUGCGACCUCGAUGUUGAAUUAAGGUUCCUCCGUGGUGUAGCAGCUGCGGUUGGAGGUCUGUUCGACCUUUAAAUCCUUACAUGAUUUGAGUUCAGACCGGCGUAAGCCAGGUCGGUUUCUAUCUUUUGUAUUUAAUAAAAUUACUUUAGUACGAAAGGAUUAAGUAAUUGAAAUAAUUUUUUUCGGUUAGAUUAAUGUUAAUAUUAUAUUGCCUUGGCAGAAUUAUGCACUAGACUUAGGAUCUAAU